CGCAGCCUGAUCCAGCAAUGCCGCGUGAGUGAAGAAGGCCUUCGGGUUGUAAAGCUCUUUUGUCAGGGAAGAAACGGUGAGCUCUAAUACAGUUUGCUAAUGACGGUACCUGAAGAAUAAGCACCGGCUAACUACGUGCCAGCAGCCGCGGUAAUACGUAGGGUGCAAGCGUUAAUCGGAAUUACUGGGCGUAAAGCGUGCGCAGGCGGUUUUGUAAGUCUGUCGUGAAAUCCCCGGGCUCAACCUGGGAAUGGCGAUGGAGACUGCAAGGCUAGAGUUUGGCAGAGGGGGGUAGAAUUCCACGUGUAGCAGUGAAAUGCGUAGAUAUGUGGAGGAACACCGAUGGCGAAGGCAGCCCCCUGGGUCAAAACUGACGCUCAUGCACGAAAGCGUGGGGAGCAAACAGGAUUAGAUACCCUGGUAGUCCACGCCCUAAACGAUGUCUACUAGUUGUCGGGUCUUAAUUGACUUGGUAACGCAGCUAACGCGUGAAGUAGACCGCCUGGGGAGUACGGUCGCAAGAUUAAAACUCAAAGGAAUUGACGGGGACCCGCACAAGCGGUGGAUGAUGUGGAUUAAUUCGAUGCAACGCGAAAAACCUUACCUACCCUUGACAUGGCUGGAAUCCCUGAGAGA
Molecule: ribosomal RNA, 636 nt
Filed under: Oxalobacteraceae bacterium Se3Ps_2501
Lineage: Bacteria; Pseudomonadati; Pseudomonadota; Betaproteobacteria; Burkholderiales; Oxalobacteraceae
Description: bacterial SSU rRNA
Rfam family: Bacterial small subunit ribosomal RNA
Source: RNAcentral